AGCGAACGCUGGCGGCAUGCCUAACACAUGCAAGUCGCACGGGGGGGCUUCGGCCUCCCAGUGGCGGACGGGUGAGGAACGCGUAGGGACCUGUCGAGGGGUGGGGGAUAACCGCGGGAAACUGCGGCUAAUACCGCAUGACGCCGCGGCGUGACAGCCGGGGCCAAAGGCGAAAGCCGCCCGCCGAGGGGCCUGCGUCCGAUUAGCUGGUUGGCGGGGUAGCGGCCCACCAAGGCGUCGAUCGGUAGCUGGUCUGAGAGGGUGAUCAGCCACACCGGGACUGAGACACGGCCCGGACUCCUACGGGAGGCAGCAGUGGGGAAUAUUGGACAAUGGGCGCAAGCCUGAUCCAGCAAUGCCGCGUGGGUGAAGAAGGUCUUCGGAUUGUAAAGCCCUUUCGGCGGGGACGAUGGUGACGGUACCCGCAGAAGAAGCCCCGGCUAACCUCGUG
RNAcentral lists this ribosomal RNA (451 nucleotides) under uncultured bacterium. RNAcentral's name for it is "partial 16S ribosomal RNA". It matches the Rfam family "Bacterial small subunit ribosomal RNA", at positions 28 to 507 of the family's 1533-position model. The record is from RNAcentral.